UACCUGCAGCUCAAGUAGUGAUCGCUAUUAUUGGGCCUAAAACGUUCGUAGCCGGUUUGGUAAAUGCCUGGGUAAAUAGUGUAGCUUAACUAUACGAAUUCCGGGUAGACUGUCAAACUUGAGACCGGGAGAGGCUAGAGGUACUCCUGGGGUAGAGGUGAAAUUCUGUAAUCCUGAGGGGACCACCAGUGGCGAAGGCGUCUAGCUAGAACGGGUCUGACGGUGAGGAACGAAGCCCUGGGGCGCGAACCGGAUUAGAUACCCGGGUAGUCCAGGGUGUAAACGCUGCUUGCUUGAUGUUAGUUGGGCUCCGAGCCCAAUUAGUGUCGGAGAGAAGUUGUUAAGCAAGCUGCCUGGGAAGUACGAUCGCAAGAUUGAAACUUAAAGGAAUUGGCGGGGGAGCACAGCAACGGGUGGAGCGUGCGGUUU
This 429-nucleotide ribosomal RNA is filed under the name uncultured archaeon. RNAcentral's name for it is "bacterial SSU rRNA". It matches the Rfam family "Archaeal small subunit ribosomal RNA", at positions 474 to 903 of the family's 1478-position model. The record is from RNAcentral.